Molecule: long non-coding RNA, 575 nt
Filed under: Vulpes vulpes (red fox)
Lineage: Eukaryota; Metazoa; Chordata; Mammalia; Carnivora; Canidae
Description: lncRNA (ENSVVUG00000019580.1)
Source: RNAcentral
GUUCUAGCGGCUUCAUCUCCUCCAGCCACAACGAUUUGACAGGAUUAAGGAGUCUGCCUUGGGUGCUUGGGGAAUUCUCUCGGCCAGGUGCUCAUUUCAUCCAGGUCGCCUGAAUGGAUGUGUUUUCAGAUUUGCCAAGUAUUCCCUCUCCACAGGUAGGCUCCAUCUGCAAAGCAGGAAGUGGUUAUUGGGGAGGCUGAAGUCCUCGGAGAGGGGUGCCCAGCAGAUGAGUGCAGGAGAGUCUCGUCCUCAUGCACAGGAGAGAGGUAAGAGCUAGAAGCGCAGCCAAGCUUGCUGAUUUCCAGCCCAUCACUCUGCCACUUGAUCAGCAGCUACUCACUGCCAUCUCUGGGUGCAGUAAGGUGAUGGCAAAAAUCCCCCCUUCCUCCCGCCUCCCUGGAAACACAUGGAUCGCAAUGUUACCGCUGUUUCUCACAUGGAGAAGUGGAGGAGUCUACCGACACCUGCACCUGUCUGCUCAGGUUGCCAUGGCGAGGGGCCACAGUCUGCUUGGCUUCCAUAACCUCAAUGUGAAAGAACCUAGGCUUUCACAGUUCUGCAGGCCAGCCAUCUGA